Long non-coding RNA from Bactrocera tryoni, 150 nucleotides. RefSeq lists it as uncharacterized. The transcript has 3 exons. The record is from RefSeq and is a predicted model, not a curated record. NCBI's taxonomy places the organism in Eukaryota, Metazoa, Arthropoda, Insecta, Diptera, Tephritidae.
UAACACGGAAAUUACUAACUUAUUCGCCAAUAGUGAUGUCAUGAAAAGAUACGAGAUUCAUCAAACAAAAAGUGGAAGGACCCUGAACAAAAUUCUCAAUAGCUUUUGCCAACAAUCUGCUUUGCAUCGGACACUCUGCACACUCUUGGC